RNAcentral lists this ribosomal RNA (267 nucleotides) under uncultured bacterium. RNAcentral's name for it is "partial 16S ribosomal RNA". It matches the Rfam family "Bacterial small subunit ribosomal RNA", at positions 524 to 786 of the family's 1533-position model. The record is from RNAcentral.
UACGGAGGAUCCAAGCGUUAUCCGGAUUUAUUGGGUUUAAAGGGUGCGUAGGCGGCUUAUUAAGUCAGGGGUGAAAGACGGUGGCUCAACCAUCGCAGUGCCUUUGAUACUGAUGAGCUUGAAUCUACCUGAGGUAGGCGGAAUGUGACAAGUAGCGGUGAAAUGCAUAGAUAUGUCACAGAACACCAAUUGCGAAGGCGGCUUACUAAGGUGGUAUUGACGCUGAGGCACGAAAGCGUGGGGAUCAAACAGGAUUAGAACCGUACC